This is an RNA transcript of Chelonia mydas (Green sea turtle), 4234 nucleotides long. It is a transcript of the gene named probable G-protein coupled receptor 132, with no coding region annotated. The record is from RefSeq and is a predicted model, not a curated record. NCBI's taxonomy places the organism in Eukaryota, Metazoa, Chordata, Testudines, Cheloniidae. The transcript is spliced from 3 exons.
CUGUCUUGGGGCCACAGAGGUGGUUCCCCAACUCACACGGACAUAGGGGGCAGAGGCUGAGCCGAGCCAGCUGUUUGCCCCCCAACUUCUCCCAGAGCCGGCACCAAGCCCACCCCAUCCUCCUCCCAGGGCCCUGCCAAUGUGCAGGGCCCAGGGUUCCAUCCCCAGCCCCUUUCCACACGCCAACAUGCCCUUUACACGCACAACCCUCACAGCACAUGCGUCCCCCACAGUACACAGGCUCCCUCCCCCACAUCAUUGUCACACGCCAUCCCCUGUGACAGACACACCACAUUUCACACCCAGUCCCCGUGCAGCUCCAACACCGACAGUCACGCAACCCUGCCACACGCACUGGGGAGGCUGCUCAGCCAGAGAUCCCCAACCACUGGACAAGGCGCCCCCCGCAGCACCAUGCUGAAUGCCAGCGCCCCCUGCCCGUCCAACGCCUCGCGCUGCGGGGUGGAUUUCCAGGCUGGCCAGGAGCUGGUGGUCUCUCUCUACGGUGCCGUCUUCCUGCUGGGCCUGGCCACCAACGCGCUGACCCUGUGGCCCAUCGUGCAGCAGGUGCGGCUGGGCAACGUGCUGGCUGUCUACCUGCUGGGCCUGGCCGCCUCCGACGUGCUUUACCUGCUCACCCUGCCGCUGUGGAUGCUUUACGUGUGGCGCGGGCACCGGUGGACCCUGAGCAGCCUGGCCUGCCACGCCGCCGGCUUCGUCUUCUACUCCAACAUGUACGUCAGCGUCCUGCUCCUCUGCCUCAUCUCCCUGGAGCGCUACCUGGCCGUGGCGCACCCGCUCCGCUCCCUGGGGCUGCGGAGCCGCCGCUCGGCCGCCGUCGCCAGCGCCGUGGUGGCCCUGCUGGUUUUCACCUUCCACAUGGGCAUCGCCCUGCGCUCCCCGGAGCCGGCCAACGCCUCCUGCUACGACAGCUACCCACUGCAGCCCGGCGUGGCCAGGUUCAACUACUUCCGGGUGGCUGGCGGCUUCGCGCUGCCCUUGCUGGUCCUGGGGGUCUCCUACCUCAAGAUCUUCCAGGGGGUGCGGGCCAGCAACACCCUGCUGGACUGGCAGAAGGCCAAGGUGAAGCGUCUCUCGAUGGGCGUCAUUGCCAUCUUCCUGCUCUGCUUCGCCCCCUACCACCUGCUGCUGCUGGUGCGGACAGUGGCCUCCGCAGUGCUAGAUGGCUGCUCCCUCUGCUCCUUCGAGCAGCGGCUCCACCUGCCCUUCUCCCUGGCCCUGGCCCUGUCCAGCCUCAACAGCGCCCUGGACCCCGUCCUCUACGCCCUGGUGAGCGACAGCAUCAAGGGGGACCUACGGAAGGUGUUCAGCUGCGUGGUGCGUGCCCCGGCACCCGGAACAAUCACCUCUCUGGCCUUGUGACCGGGGCUGGCAUGGCACCGACCGAGGGAAACUGGAUCGGGGAUGUCCGAUGGCACCAGAAGGGGGAGCGACGUGCUUAGGAACAUCGGCCUCGCCCAUGGGAGAAAGCCUGCAGCGUCAUGCCCGAUGGCACCAAGAGACGCAGCUGGAUCCAUGGGCGGAUGCCAAAGACUGGAGGGGUGGGGUCUGGGGCCCAGCAAUGGCUAAGGGGGUGGAUUAGGAAGCUUGCCAAUGAGGCUGCAUAGACGGGGGCAUUGUGGGAAGGGGACAGCCCUGCCUGGGAGCUUGCGCUCAGCGGCCGAGGGGUCGCUCUGUCGCUGGGAUCCCAGGCACUGCGUGGGGUUUGUGGGGAGCGAAGAACUGAGAACUCUGCCGAGAACAGGGUACAGGACAGGAGGUGCUCCAAAGAGGGCAAAGGAUUAUUUAGCAGGAGCAAUGAGGGGCAAUAAAGACAGGGCGGGUACAGGAGGGUAUGAUUCCCUAACAGCGAGGCUGGGGUAUCCUCUCUGCCGGGGAUGGAGCCCAUCUCAUCGGGGGCUUAAAUUGAGGGGCCCAUGAUGUUGAGAAGAGGGCGUCUCCCCCCAGCAAGGGAUAAAUGGGUAACAAUCCCUCGUUCACUGUCCCAGCACUAAAGUGUGGUCUGGGGCUGGACAUCAAGUUUUGUAGGUGACUUUCACUGCAACAACCACUGAUGAACAUCCUUUACGCCUUUUCUUACAAGGACCUUGAAAAAGACGGGAAAACAGUCCAAGUCCUAAAGGAGGCUUCUCUUUUAACGAGGUGUCAGCGCCUGUAGCAAUAGAAGGUUGUUAUAGACUCUUUCAGCCCGUUGCCAUGCCGACCCCUGACAUUCCCAGGGGCCCUGCAGCCCCCUUAGCCACACAUCUUUUAACUUCAACGAUCCACCCCGGAUCUGCCCAUUUGUCGCCAGCUUUUCGGACUCGGUUCCCGGAUCAGGCUGACAAUCCAGGCGUCUUUACAGCGGGCCCUGGAACGCUGGCCGACGGGACUGCCUCAGCUGUGUAUGCCGGCGCCGAGAUGCUGCUCGCGGCACUCUGGGCCAUACAGACUGCAGGGUGAGUGCCCAGCUGAUGAAUAAAGACCAGGAUCCUGAGCCUUGUCCUUUCUACUCACCCAUGGGACCCACUAGUGGAUUCCCCCUCACCACACACACGUCAGAUCCAUGAGCAAACUCUGUCAGGUCCAAGACACAGGAAAGAUUUGGAUCCACUGGGACGUGAGGGGAUGGAAGUGUGGGGAGCCGCGGUGUUUGCCUGGCUAUGAAAUUGGUUUCAGGUGGUGUCAGUGCCCCCCGGGUUGUUAUUGACGUGAACUAGGGGAGAUCAGUGGGCCCCAGACCAGGGUCGCAUCGGGCCCUGUCGCGCUGGGCGCUGCAUAGGCCCAGAAUGAAAACACGGUUCCAUGCCCUGAAAGGUUCACAGGGCAUGUCUGUGAGUCGCAGGUGUAAUUUCUGGCUGGAGGAGGCGUACUGAGCAAGCUGGCCCGCUAAAAACCCCCAUGGUGUUGUCGUGGCUUCCCGGGCGGUGGGAUAGGCAAGUACAAUCCUGGCCGAGAUGCUAGCUGUGUACUCCAGCAGCUCCCACUCCCGCCGCAGUGGCCAACCUGCUAUUUUUAGCGCCCUAACUCAAGCAGAGCUUGUGUAUGUCUGCUCCUCCCAGCUCCAGUGUGAAUGUACACCCCCUCCCGCGAUGGACUAGGGACCGGUGACGGUGUUCCCGUCCCAGGAAAAUAGUCAAGGUUCUGGGAAAUUUCCCCAUCUCGAACGGAGAUGGAGAGUCCAAAUCUCGAAAACCUUCGGGACAUGAACAGUCAACGUUGGUUUGUGUUCAGGUCGCUGGAAACGUUUCGUUUUUGAACUUUCUUCAUUUCGGUUGAAACGACAAUUAGCUCAAUCGCUGCCGGAAAAGGCCUUUCAAGCCAGGAAACUGCAAUGUGCCGCUCAGACGACAGCAAGAUGGGACAUUUUGACAAUUUUAUAAACUUUUUUCCACCUUUUCAAGUCAAGAAAUUCCCCAGAAUCGACCCGGCCCUGCAAACAGUUCUGGUUUUCGAUUAAUCGAAUUUUUUGGAUGGGAAAAGUCUCAUUGAAAAUUCCCUGACUUAUCAACAGGUCUGGGACAUGCCUACACCGUGUUAACGUAUCACAUGCACUGACCCCUACAGAGCAUCCCCCUCUAGUGGCAAGGCGCCUGCUCGCGGUUUGUGACUUGGCUACAGGUUACGGAGCGAAUACAGCAGCUUCUUUGGAUCAUGCUCUUCGAGCCAGGGAUCUGUUCCCGGGGAGUGUCAGCACACACCACCGCUUGUCCGUCUGCCUCACCCUUGCUAGGCGCACAGUCUCCUUGGCCCCUUCAGCCCUCGGGGGCCUGCUGGGCUGGUCGUUUUGAAGCUGGACACGGCUGUCUUACUAGAAACUGCUCAAGGCUUUGUUUAAGUCAGGCUGCUAGCUGGGUCUAGCUGUACUUGUGCAAACCCCUCGUGCAGAUGGGCUGCGAUGGUGUAAGCCGUGACUCGCACCAGCAUGGACAAGUCUGAUUCUGCCGUUCUUGGUCUGGAAAGUUUCUGGGAGGGGAGUGGGGUCUAGUGGUUGGAGGGGGGGGCUGGGAGCCAGGACUCCUGGCUUCUAUCCCCAGCUCUGGGAAGGGAGUGGGGUCUAGUGGCUAGAGCGGGGAGGCCGGGAGUCAGGACUCCUGGGUUCUGUUCCCCCCUCCCAGCUUGGGGAGGGGAGUGGGGUCUAGUGAAUAGAGCUGCCGGGGGUGGGAGGGUCUGGGAGUCAGGACUCCUGGGUUCCCUUUCCAGCCCUGCCUGUCUUUAUUAAAAGUGCCCGAUC